GAUGAACGCUGGCGGCGUGCCUAACACAUGCAAGUCGAGCGGCAGCGAGGGGUGCUUGCACCCUGUCGGCGAGCGGCGGACGGCUGAGUAACGCGUAGGAACGUGCCCCAAAGUGAGGAAUAACUGCCCGAAAGGGUAGCUAAUACCGCAUAUUAUCUUCGGAUCAAAGGAUUUAUCCGCUUUGGGAGCGGCUCGCGUCGGAUUAGGUAGUUGGUGAGGUAAUGGCUCACCAAGCCGACGAUCCGUAGCUGGUCUGAGAGGAUGACCAGCCAGACUGGAACUGAGACACGGUCCAGACUCCUACGGGAGGCAGCAGUGAGGAAUCUUCCACAAUGGGCGAAAGCCUGAUGGAGCAACGCCGCGUGCAGGACGAAGGCCUUCGGGUUGUAAACUGCUUUUAUAAGUGAGGAAUAUGACGGUAACUUAUGAAUAAGGAUCGGCUAACUACGUG
RNAcentral lists this ribosomal RNA (451 nucleotides) under uncultured bacterium. Its description in RNAcentral is "partial 16S ribosomal RNA". It matches the Rfam family "Bacterial small subunit ribosomal RNA", at positions 28 to 507 of the family's 1533-position model. The record is from RNAcentral.